GACAGAGGUGGCGAGCGUUGUUCGGAAUUACUGGGCUUAAAGGGCGAGUAGGCGGUGGGACAAGUCUGAGGUGGAAUCCUAUGGCUUAACCAUAGAAUUGCCUUAGAAACUGUUUUACUUGAGUCAGUGAGGGGAGGGCAGAAUUCCUGGUGUAGCGGUGAAAUGCGUAGAUAUCAGGAGGAAGGCCGGUGGCGAAGGCGGCCCUCUGGUACUGUACUGACGCUGAGGCGCGAAAGCGUGGGGAGCAAAC
RNAcentral lists this ribosomal RNA (250 nucleotides) under uncultured bacterium. Its description in RNAcentral is "partial 16S ribosomal RNA". It matches the Rfam family "Bacterial small subunit ribosomal RNA", at positions 524 to 773 of the family's 1533-position model. The record is from RNAcentral.